RNAcentral lists this transfer RNA (57 nucleotides) under Bos taurus (domestic cattle). It matches the Rfam family "tRNA", at positions 8 to 63 of the family's 71-position model. Rfam says of the family: Transfer RNA (tRNA) molecules are approximately 80 nucleotides in length. Their secondary structure includes four short double-helical elements and three loops (D, anti-codon, and T loops). Lineage: Eukaryota; Metazoa; Chordata; Mammalia; Artiodactyla; Bovidae. The record is from Rfam by way of RNAcentral. RNAcentral also lists the same sequence under 2 other names.
UGGCUCAGAUGGUAAAGCAUCUGCCUACAAUGCAGGAGACCCAGGUUCUAUCCCUGG